RNAcentral lists this long non-coding RNA (653 nucleotides) under Erythranthe guttata (spotted monkey flower). RNAcentral's name for it is "long non-coding RNA (EGUT_LNC002496)". The record is from RNAcentral. Lineage: Eukaryota; Viridiplantae; Streptophyta; Magnoliopsida; Lamiales; Phrymaceae.
UCCACUUUUCCCACUAUGUUUAGCCAACACACUUGCAACAGCUCUGCCACCUCCUCCUUUCUGCAAAUUAUUCAUUCACUUCCUGAGUUAUUAACAAACUAUUCUAUUCUACCACAUAUGUAUACAUAUACAUAUUGCGUAAAGACUACAGAGAUCUAGAGAGAGAGAGAGAGAGAGAGAGAGAGAGAGAGAGAGCUCAUUAGGAUGAGGAAGAGGAGUCCAUUUCCAGUAUCUGCUAUCAUUUAUCCAGGUAAUGUCUAGCUCUCGUGCUGGAAUCCACAAGCUCUACAACAUAACAGUAACCAAAACAUAUAUAUAUAUAUAUAUAUAUAUAUAUAUAUAUAUAUAUAUAUAUAUAUGUAUGUUUGAGUAUAUACCAUAAAAGUAACACAAAAAAAAAGAUUAAUACAGGACCAGGAAAAGAAUUGAGUCAUCUUAUACUAUUAUCUAAGAAAUCUGAAUACUACAGAAGAAUAUUUUUUUGAUUAUGGUUUUGGCCAUACCAUUGCGCAAUUGUUGGUUGUAAUUGCAAGUCUUCUGCUCUCUUCCUUAACCAAAUUUUGAUUUUUUUCCUUUAAUCCUUGUACAGUUCAUUUUAGUAUUUAACACGAAAAACGAGAGACCGAGUCCAAAUAUAUAUAUAUAUAUAUAUA